AACGAACGCUGGCGGCAUGCCUAACACAUGCAAGUCGAACGAGACCUUCGGGUCUAGUGGCGCACGGGUGCGUAACGCGUGGGAACCUGCCCUUAGGUUCGGAAUAACUCCCCGAAAGGGGUGCUAAUACCGGAUAAUGUCUUCGGACCAAAGAUUUAUCGCCUUUGGAUGGGCCCGCGUUGGAUUAGCUAGUUGGUAGGGUAAAAGCCUACCAAGGCGACGAUCCAUAGCUGGUCUGAGAGGAUGAUCAGCCACACUGGGACUGAGACACGGCCCAGACUCCUAAGGGAGGGAGGAAGGGGGGAAAAUGGAAAAAGGGGGGAAGGCUGAACCAACAAAGGCGGGGGAGGGAUGAAGGGCUUAAGGGUGGAAAGGUCCUUUAACCGGGAAGAUAAUGACAGUACCGGGAGAAUAAGCGCCGGCUAACUCCGUG
This 433-nucleotide ribosomal RNA is filed under the name uncultured bacterium. RNAcentral's name for it is "partial 16S ribosomal RNA". It matches the Rfam family "Bacterial small subunit ribosomal RNA", at positions 29 to 507 of the family's 1533-position model. The record is from RNAcentral.